Molecule: long non-coding RNA, 445 nt
Organism: Physella acuta
Lineage: Eukaryota; Metazoa; Mollusca; Gastropoda; Physidae
Source: RefSeq, a predicted model, not a curated record
UUAAACAACAUAUAAAAGGGCUAACUGAGGACGUGUCAGGAGUAGCCGGACUUUGUUUUCCAGCACCUUUGUUUGAUACAAGUUUGUCAAAAUGAAGGCCUUAGUUAUUUUCAUGUGUGUAUUGAUCGUCAUGUCUGCCAUUUCCCCAAGCGAACAGUUGAUCAGGAGAAAACCAUCAGCAGAAACCCUGAGAAAGCUUGCGGAAUCUGCAAGAGCUCAAAAGAGGGGAGAUAGCUCUCGAGUAACACCCGCACCAGCUGAUGAUGCAGGCGGAGAUAAGUGAUUUCCCUUGGAUGGAGAAACGUCUAAAGAGUUAACAUAACUGAGAUUGAUGAACGAUAACUCUGUUUAUUUGGAAAAUAAUUAAAUGCAGUAAAAUUGAAAUAAAAUAAAAUAACAAAGCUUUUAAGAAAUUUGGAAAUAAAAAUAUUUCUAUAUAAAAUUA